AUGUUAGCGGCGGACGGGUGAGUAACACGUGGGUAACCUGCCUGUAAGACUUUUGGGCCCGGUUAAAUUUCCCGGGGGGGGAUAACUCCGGGAAACCGGGGCUAAUACCGGAUGGUUGUUUGAACCGCAUGGUUCAGACAUAAAAGGUGGCUUCGGCUACCACUUACAGAUGGACCCGCGGCGCAUUAGCUAGUUGGUGAGGUAACGGCUCACCAAGGCAACGAUGCGUAGCCGACCUGAGAGGGUGAUCGGCCACACUGGGACUGAGACACGGCCCAGACUCCUACGGGAGGCAGCAGUAGGGAAUCUUCCGCAAUGGACGAAAGUCUGACGGAGCAACGCCGCGUGAGUGAUGAAGGUUUUCGGAUCGUAAAGCUCUGUUGUUAGGGAAGAACAAGUGCCGUUCAAAUAGGGCGGCACCUUGACGGUACCUAACCAGAAAGCCACGGCUAACUACGUGCCAGCAGCCGCGGUAAUACGUAGGUGGCAAGCGUUGUCCGGAAUUAUUGGGCGUAAAGGGCUCGCAGGCGGUUUCUUAAGUCUGAUGUGAAAGCCCCCGGCUCAACCGGGGAGGGUCAUUGGAAACUGGGGAACUUGAGUGCAGAAGAGGAGAGUGGAAUUCCACGUGUAGCGUGUGGUGAAAUGCGUAGAGAUGUGGAGGAACACCAGUGGCGAAGGCGACUCUCUGGUCUGUAACUGACGCUGAGGAGCGAAAGCGUGGGGAGCGAACAGGAUUAGAUACCCUGGUAGUCCACGCCGUAAACGAUGAGUGCUAAGUGUUAGGGGGUUUCCGCCCCUUAGUGCUGCAGCUAACGCAUUAAGCACUCCGCCUGGGGAGUACGGUCGCAAGACUGAAACUCAAAGGAAUUGACGGGGGCCCGCACAAGCGGUGGAGCAUGUGGUUUAAUUCGAAGCAACGCGAAGAACCUUACCAGGUCUUGACAUCCUCUGACAAUCCUAGAGAUAGGACGUCCCCUUCGGGGGCAGAGUGACAGGUGGUGCAUGGUUGUCGUCAGCUCGUGUCGUGAGAUGUUGGGUUAAGUCCCGCAACGAGCGCGUGUGUAACCCUUGAUCUUAGUUGCCAGCAUUCAGUUGGGCACUCUAAGGUGACUGCCGGUGACAAACCGGAGGAAGGUGGGGAUGACGUCAAAUCAUCAUGCCCCUUAUGACCUGGGCUACACACGUGCUACAAUGGACAGGGGUUUUGAACAAAGGGCAGCGAAACCGCGAGGUUAAGCCAAUCCCACAAAUCUGUUCUCAGUUCGGAUCGCAGUCUGCAACUCGACUGCGUGAAGCUGGAAUCGCUAGUAAUCGCGGAUCAGCAUGCCGCGGUGAAUACGUUCCCGGGCCUUGUACACACCGCCCGUCACACCACGAGAGUUUGUAACACCCGAAGUCGGUGAGGUAACCUUUUAGGGGUGUGCCCAAAUUCGAGAGCCAGCCGCCGAAGGUGGGACAGAUGAUUGGGGUGAAGUCGUAACAAGGUAGCCGUAUCGGAAGGUGCGGCUGGAUCACCUCC
RNAcentral lists this ribosomal RNA (1519 nucleotides) under Bacillus amyloliquefaciens. Its description in RNAcentral is "bacterial SSU rRNA". It matches the Rfam family "Bacterial small subunit ribosomal RNA". Lineage: Bacteria; Bacillati; Bacillota; Bacilli; Caryophanales; Bacillaceae. The record is from RNAcentral.